RNAcentral lists this ribosomal RNA (1408 nucleotides) under metagenome. RNAcentral's name for it is "bacterial LSU rRNA". It matches the Rfam family "Bacterial large subunit ribosomal RNA", at positions 1513 to 2907 of the family's 2925-position model. The record is from RNAcentral.
GUUGCCCUUAGGCGUGCCCCUUAGGCAAAUCCGGGGGGCUGAGCUGAGGCGUGAUGACGAGGAACCACGGUUCCGAAGUGAUUGAUACCAAGCUUCCAGGAAAAGCCACUAAGCUUCAGUCUAGAGUUGACCGUACCGCAAACCGACACAGGUGGGCAGGAUGAAAAUUCUAAGGCGCUUGAGAGAACUCAGGAGAAGGAACUCGGCAAAUUAACACCGUAACUUCGGGAGAAGGUGUGCCCCGGUAGCGUGUAGAGACUUGCUCUCGAAGCGCGAUGGGGUUGCAGUGAAAUGGUGGCUGCGACAGUUUAAUAAAAACACAGCACUCUGCAAACACGAAAGUGGACGUAUAGGGUGUGACGCCUGCCCGGUGCCGGAAGGUUAAGUGAUGGGGUGCAAGCUCUUGAUCGAAGCCCCGGUAAACGGCGGCCGUAACAAUAACGGUCCUAAGGUAGCGAAAUUCCUUGUCGGGUAAGUUCCGACCUGCACGAAUGGCGUAACGAUGGCCACACUGUCUCCUCCUGGGACUCAGCGAAGUUGAAAUGUUUGUGAAGAUGCAAUCUACCCGCGGCUAGACGGAAAGACCCCAUGAACCUUUACUGUAGCUUUGCAUUGGACUUUGAACCGGUUUGUGUAGGAUAGGUGGGAGACUGUGAAGCCGGGACGCUAGUUUCGGUGGAGUCAACCUUGAAAUACCACCCUGAUUUGUUUGAGGUUCUAACCUUGGUCCGUGAAUCCGGAUCGGGGACCGUGCAUGGUAGGCAGUUUGACUGGGGCGGUCUCCUCCCAAAAGGUAACGGAGGAGUACGAAGGUACGCUUAGGGCGGUCGGACAUCGCCCACAAAGUGCAAUGGCAAAAGCGUGCUUGACUGCGAGACCCACAAGUCGAGCAGGUACGAAAGUAGGUCAUAGUGAUCCGGUGGUUCUGUAUGGAAGGGCCAUCGCUCAACGUAUAAAAGGUACUCUGGGGAUAACAGGCUAAUUCCUCCCAAGAGUUCAUAUCGACGGGGGAGUUUGGCACCUCGAUGUCGGCUCAUCACAUCCUGGGGCUGUAGUCGGUCCCAAGGGUAUGGCUGUUCGCCAUUUAAAGUGGUACGCGAGCUGGGUUUAAAACGUCGUGAGACAGUUUGGUCCCUAUCUGCCGUGGGCGCUGGAAAUUUGAAGGGGGCUGCUCCUAGUACGAGAGGACCGGAGUGGACGAACCUCUGGUGUACCGGUUAUGACGCCAGUCGUAUCGCCGGGUAGCUAAGUUCGGAAGAGAUAAACGCUGAGAGCAUCUAAGCGUGAAACUCGCCUUAAGAUAAGAUUUCCCGGAGUCUUGAACUCCCUGAAGGGUCGUCGAAGACCACGACGUUGAUAGGUCAGGUGUGGAAGCGCAGCAAUGCGUUAAGCUAACUGAUACUAAUUG